Molecule: ribosomal RNA, 253 nt
Filed under: uncultured bacterium
Lineage: Bacteria
Description: partial 16S ribosomal RNA
Rfam family: Bacterial small subunit ribosomal RNA
Source: RNAcentral
UACGGAGGGUGCGAGCGUUGUCCGGAUUUAUUGGGUUUAAAGGGUGCGUAGGUGGCUUUUUAAGUCAGUGGUGAAAUACAGCCGCUCAACGGUUGAGGUGCCAUUGAUACUGUUAAGCUUGAAACAAGUGGAGGUUGCCGGAAUGGAUGGUGUAGCGGUGAAAUGCAUAGAUAUCAUCCAGAACACCGAUUGCGAAGGCAGGUGACUACGUUUGAUUUGACACUGAGGCACGAAAGCAUGGGGAGCAAACAGG